RNAcentral lists this ribosomal RNA (269 nucleotides) under uncultured prokaryote. RNAcentral describes it as "partial 16S ribosomal RNA". It matches the Rfam family "Bacterial small subunit ribosomal RNA", at positions 524 to 792 of the family's 1533-position model. The record is from RNAcentral.
GACGAAGGUGGCAAGCGUUGUUCGGUGUUACUGGGCUUAAAGAGUGUGUAGGCGGAAUCGUAAGCGUCUUGUGAAAUCCCUGAGCUUAACUCAGGAAUUGCUUGGCGAACUGCUUUUCUUGAGGCAAGUAGGGGUGCAUGGAACUGUUGGUGGAGCGGUGGAAUGCGUAGAUAUCAACAGGAACGCCAGUGGUGAAAACGGUGCACUGGGCUUGACCUGACGCUGAGACACGAAAGCGUGGGGAGCGAACGGGAUUAGAUACCCCGGUA